AUGGCUAUCACAAAUAUCUACGCUCCCUCCUGUUGCACGUUAAAAAAGGACUUUCUAGAUGAACUACUUAGAAUUAAACAAGACGAUGACAUGCCAUGGCUCAUCCUCGGUGAUUUCAACCUCCUCCGUUUCUCUUCCGACAAAAAAAACUCCAACUUCCGGAAAGCCGAAGCCGAUGCGUUCAACCAAGCCAUUAACGACCUUACUCUCAUUGAGCUACCGCUACUAGACAGACGCUUCACCUGGUCUAAUAACCGCUCCUCCCCCACCCUCGAACGCAUUGAUUGA
This 288-nucleotide ribosomal RNA is filed under the name Triticum aestivum (bread wheat). Its description in RNAcentral is "partial small subunit ribosomal RNA". Lineage: Eukaryota; Viridiplantae; Streptophyta; Magnoliopsida; Poales; Poaceae. The record is from RNAcentral.